RNAcentral lists this non-coding RNA (162 nucleotides) under Chromera velia. The record is from RNAcentral. Lineage: Eukaryota; Chromeraceae.
GGUCUUCCAGUCGUCACACAGUGACAAGAAGUCUCCGCAAUUCUUUGUGACCACGCAAGUGUUCCAACGAAAUCUGUGCCCGUCUGACGGCUGCAUGGAUUCUUUAUUCCAACAAGAGGUACCAGACUGAGUGAUCUAGCUAGUGCGCGAAGCAAACAGACG